UACACAUCGAAGGGCUUCACGCGAACCACGUGGCAUGAUAACGUCAUCACACACACACUCUCUCUUCUUCGCAGUAGUCACUUUAUUACUUCAUCUCUUUGCUUCCGAGAGAAUCACAGAUCUCUCGUUGCCUUAUCUCACUCUUCAGAUUCCCAAUCUCAAAACCCUAAUUCCCAAAUCUCGCUUAGAAAUAAGAGAAGAAAAUCAUCAUCGAAGUGGAUCAUACACGUACCAUGUAAGAUUAGAUCUCUGAUGGUUGGGUGAAACAGAAAAAAAAAAUGGAUGAGAUGCAGAGAAGAGAACCGAGAAGGGUGUGGUUAUGUUUACAAAACACAAUAGUGAUCCUCGUGGGUGGAAACCAUACCUCCUCCAGGUUUUGCACUCGCUAAAUCCUUCUUCCUAAACUGAAUCUCUCUACUUCCAUUGAAUCUCUCUUUCUGAGUAAAAGAUCCGAUUCUUGUUUUAACUUUUGGAUUCCUCUUCUCUUCUUCUUCCUCGCCAUGGGCGUUGAGCUGAAACUAACGCCCACCUCCUUCCGUAGGCGCGUGAUCCUACGCGCUCUCGUGAUCGUUUUCGCUUUCUCCGUCGUAUCCAUCAUACGAAACCUCAACGGAGCAUACCAAGGAGAGACUCACCUCCACCACCGCCCGCGUAAGGUCGAUGAUUGCGCGGUGAACUUCGCGUUCCUCGGUCCGUUCCUCUUCUCCGGCAACGGCUUCCUCUCCAACACCUUCCUUAAGCCAGUUUGGAGCUUUAUAGAGUCGGACAAGUGUAAGACGAACAUCGACUUGACUACUCAAGUCGUCGCCGAGCUUAAAGGUUUGAACUUGCUGAGUAACGACGCGAGAGCUCUCUGUAUUGGCCGGAGUUCGGUUUCAGCUCUUCUCGCUAUGAACCUACAAGGGAUCUCUGAUGCUCGCGUGAGCCACGCGCCGCCUGUUUUUGCUUUCAAGCACAGGAAGUUCACUAGUGAGCUACGUUAUGAUGAUGCUUCUUUCGGGUUUGUCUUUUCUAUGGAUCUUGAGACGGUUUUAGUCCCUGCUUCACUUGUUUACGAAAUCGAGCGUGUGCUUAGCCCGGUGGAACCGGAGCUAUGCUUGUUGGGUCUGACUCUAACGGGUUGGUUAGAUCCGUCCUCGCCUGUUUCUUCUCUGCUCAAGAACUCGAGUGUUGUUCAUGUGCUUCCUUAGGUGAGCAGGUUUUGAUUGUGUUCAGGAGACAUGGUGAAGAUAGUUUCGGUUUGGAUCAGUCUCAUCAUGUUGCUUCCUUAGGUGAUAAUCAACAUGAAGAGCGAAGAGUUAGGAUGAACAAGAACCAGUGUCGAAAGCUUAGCACUAAUACCUAUGCGAUACCAAUAGCAUAG
RNA transcript from Brassica rapa (field mustard), 1363 nucleotides. RefSeq lists it as uncharacterized. NCBI's taxonomy places the organism in Eukaryota, Viridiplantae, Streptophyta, Magnoliopsida, Brassicales, Brassicaceae. The record is from RefSeq and is a predicted model, not a curated record.